This 253-nucleotide ribosomal RNA is filed under the name uncultured bacterium. RNAcentral describes it as "partial 16S ribosomal RNA". It matches the Rfam family "Bacterial small subunit ribosomal RNA", at positions 524 to 776 of the family's 1533-position model. The record is from RNAcentral.
UACAGAGGUCCCAAGCGUUGUUCGGAUUCACUGGGCGUAAAGGGUGCGUAGGUGGUCGGGUAAGUCUGAGGUGAAAUCUCCGAGCUCAACUCGGAAACUGCCUUGGAUACUAUUCGGCUUGAGGGUUGGAGGGGGAACUGGAAUUCUCGGUGUAGCAGUGAAAUGCGUAGAUAUCAAGCGGAACACCAGUGGCGAAGGCGAGUCCCUGGACAACACCUGACACUGAGGCACGAAAGCUAGGGGAGCAAACAGG